Molecule: ribosomal RNA, 493 nt
Filed under: uncultured bacterium
Lineage: Bacteria
Description: bacterial SSU rRNA
Rfam family: Bacterial small subunit ribosomal RNA
Source: RNAcentral
AACUAACGCUGGCGGCGUGCCUAACACAUGCAAGUCGUACGAGAAAGUUGGCUUCGGCCGAUGAGUAAAGUGGCGCACGGGUGAGUAAUGCGUGGAUAAUCUGCCCUUUAGUUGGGAAUAACGUACCGAAAGGUGCGCUAAUACCUGAUAAUACUGCAUAACUACUGUUGUGUAGUCAAAGAAGGCCUCUGUUUACAAGCUUUUGCUGAAGGAUGAGUCCGCGUACCAUUAGCUGGUUGGUGGGGUAAUGGCCUACCAAGGCUACGAUGGUUAGCUGGUCUGAGAGGAUGAUCAGCCACACUGGAACUGAGACACGGUCCAGACUCCUACGGGAGGCAGCAGUGAGGAAUAUUGGACAAUGCCCGCAAGGGUGAUCCAGCCAUGCCGCGUGCAGGAAGACGGCCCUAUGGGUUGUAAACUGCUUUUACACCGGAGAAAACCCCCUACCGUGUAGGGGGCUGAUAGUAUGGUGAGAAUAAGCAUCGGCUAACUU